Long non-coding RNA from Pseudopipra pipra, 4884 nucleotides. RefSeq lists it as uncharacterized. The record is from RefSeq and is a predicted model, not a curated record. Lineage: Eukaryota; Metazoa; Chordata; Aves; Passeriformes; Pipridae. The transcript is spliced from 10 exons.
GACAGGGAUGCCCGUCAUCCUGGUCCUGGAGGAGGGGUGGGAGGGAUUUUAAUGCGGUGCAUCAUUCCCCGAGGAAGUAAAAGGGGAUGCAGGAUUUAAGGGUCCAGCUUGCAGGGCUGAUUUGUCCCCAAACCUCAGGCACUGGGGCCGGGUUCUGGACAGACAGACGUGCCAGAAGGUCCUGCUCAUCCCGGGAGGAUGAACCCCUGCUCCCAGGAUGUCCAUAACUGCAUCCAGACCCUGAGCCCUGCUGGUUCCUUUGCAAAUCUGAAGGUGACUGAAGACACCGGGAUUUUCCUCUGCUCCAGACUCGACAGGAAGGGGGAGCCAGGUGGGAAUCGGGGUCUGCUCCCAGGGAACAAGGGACUGGACAAGAGGGAACGGCCUCAGGCUGCACCAGGAGAGGUUCAGGUUGGAUGUCAGGGAAAGUUUUUGCACUGAAAAGGUUGUCUUCAAUAAUGCAGACAAGGAAAACAUCCCAGGAAGACCAACUGGGAGAGCUGGGGGGGUUCACCUGGAGAAGGGAAGGAUCCAGGAAGACCUGAGAGCCCCUUCCAGGGCCUAAAGGGGUUCCAAGAAAGCUGGAGAGGGACUUGGGACAAGGGAUGGAGGGACAGGACAAGGGGGAAUGGCUUCCCAGUGCCAGAGGGCAGGGAUGGAUGGGAUAGAUGGGAUAUUGGGAAGGAAUUCAGGCCUUUGAGGGUGGGGAGGGGCUGGGAUGGAAUUCCCAGAGAAGCUGUGGCUGCCCCAUCCCUGGGAGUGUCCAAGGCCAGGUUGGAGCACCCUGGGCUAGUGGGAGGUGUCCCUGCCCAAGGCAGGGGGUGGCACUGGAUGGGCCUUAAGGUCCCUUCCCACCCAAACCAUCCUGGGAUUCUCUGUUAGAAGCUGACAGAAGAUCCAUGGGGACAGGAAAUAUUAGGAAGUCUGUAGCACCUGAUGGCUCCAACGUUAAUUGUCAAAGUCUUCAGGGUCACCUCUGCUGAAUAUUUGCCUUUUCCCUUCGUUUUUCCAUGAAAAAUGUUCUUUUCCCGGAGCAUCCCAAGCUGCCGUGGCAGCACACGUAUGGAAUGUGAAUGCCAUCUACUGGCUGCUGUCCCGGGCCUUGGAGCAGGUGUUCCCUGUCCAAACUCCAUCCAUCUGAUCCCGCAGGAAUUUCAUUGAGCACACAGUGAGUCGGCCCAGCUCUGCUCGCCAGGGACAGGAUUUGCUGGGACUCCCUUUUCCUCAGGGAUUCCAGGAUGUGCACAGCGAGCCCUGCACCCGGCUCCCUUCCCAGCACUGCAAUUCCUCUGGGAAUUCCGUGCCGAGCCCAGCUCCUGCAGAGUCCUGCCCCUCUGGAGGAGGCAAUAUCCAGGAUCGGGUCCUUCCUGGUACUGGGUGUUUUCCCAAGCAGCUUUUUCCAGUCUCUCUCCCAUCUCCACUUACUCCUUCCCCUGGAAUAACACAUUUCCUGUUCCCUACCAGUGUGUUUUUCCCACCCUACGAGCCAAACCCUCCCGCGAGGGGGAGGAUGUGACCCUUUUGGGAAGUCAGUGUGAGCAUCCUGCUUUCAUUUCCCUGGAUUUGGAGCUCGUUUUUAGGCGGUGCCCACUGGGACAUUCCGCGAGCCCUGCGGGUCGCAGCGACGCGGAUCCCCCCCAAAAAAUCCCUUUCCUACCUGUAUAAACCCGCCACAGGAAUCAGUGGCUCGUCCAGUGGUGCCGAUGGCUUUGUCAUUCCAGCAAAUCCAGCAAAUCCCGGCGGCUCCAGCCGGGAGAGCGGUGGAUCCAUGGGCGAUGCGCGGCGCGGGCUCCAGAGGGCCCCGCGCACCAGGAGAUGGACGGAGGGAGAUUCCCUGCGGAUUUUUCUCCACUGGGAAACCAGAAAGGCUGUUUGUGCAGUCCAGGAAGGAAGGACUCGAGGAAUUCACCUCAAGGAAUCCCUGAAAAUGCCCAAGGCCAGGUUGGAGCAACCUGGGAUGGUGGAAAGUGUCCUGCCCGUGGCACAGGGGGGACUGGCUGGGCUUUAAGGUCCCUUCCAACCCAUCCUGGGAUGUGGGUUGACACUUCCCCACUGCCCUGGACAGCCUUUGCCAGGCUGGACAACCCUGUCAGUGAAGAAAUUUUCCCGAUAUCCAACCCAACCAAGAAAUUCUCCCUAAUAACCCACUACUCAAAUAAUCCAAACUUUCCGCUCGAAGCCACCCGGUGCAAAGUGGAUCCUUUCCCUUCAGGAGAUGCUUCAGCUCCUGGAUUAAGGCAGAGCCUGGGCAGAAGGUGGGUUUGCUCUGGUGUUUUAUUAUCUAGUCAUAAACAUUUACUCCUGCUGCUACUCCCAAGGCAGAGCCUCAGCUCGGUGGUGACAGCAGCGUGAUAAAUCCUGCUUCCAGUUCAUGCCCCGCUCCGGGAAGGACAUUCCUUGCUUUGGGAUUCCCAGGCUGUUGACAGGUCCAGGCUGAACCCCCCUGUGACCUUGACAUUGAUGUGUGAAGGGUUAAUGAGGGCUCUGCUCUGCCUCCCUGCUCCCAUCUGCUGAUUAAUUCCAGCCAGGUGUCCACGGGCCCAGGUCUUAAAACAACAACAGCUCGAGUGUCUGGGAACACUUAGUCAGGCUUCACUCUGCAAUUCCAAGUAUGGAUAAAUAUUUGCACCUCUGUGGCUCGAAGACACCUUGGAGAUACGGAGGCAGUUGCCUGAGGAGUUCUUUACAAGGGGAAAAACAGGGAUUUCCUGGGGAGCAGAGGAGGUUCAGCAGCAAGGAGGACUCGUGGGCUCCUCUUGCAGCUCUUCCUGGGUGGUCCUGGGGGAGGUCAGGGGGGGUUUUGGGGGCUGCAGGGGGGGGGGUGUCAUCCCACAGCACCUCUCAGGGGAUCCAAAGGUGCUCCCACUGAUGUUUGGCUCCAUAGUUUGUGGGCCUUGGUUGGUUUGCGUGGGAAAAUGAGGAGGAGAAACGCAGAACCCGGAGAUUCCAGAUCCAAAGCCCCCUUUUUUAUGGGAUACCCUGAGUGUGGCCCAGCAGCCCCAGAAAAUCUGUUUAAUUCUGUGAGUUCCUAUUUGUAAUUUAAUUGUUAUGUUUCCUUUUUUUCCUAAAAUAAACCAAAGGUUUCCAGCUCUGACUUUCACCCCUGGGACUGAAUUUCUGACUUUCAACAGCAAGGAUGACAGAAAAAAUGGUGUCUGCCCAGGGAAAUCCAACUUCUCCAUGCCUCCUUCCUACCUGGAGACUCCAAGGAGAGUUGCCUUGAAGAGAAACACCAGACACGUUGGAUUGAGGCAGGAGGGGAAGGGGAAGGUGGGAGCACAGGGAAUUCCUGGCCAGGAGCAGGGAGAUGCUGGCUCCCAUUCCCAGCCUGGAAUCACUCCCAGCUCUGGCUCCAUGGCACCCACCUGGGAGCGAUCAGGGAGCUGCUGGAAGGAGGCUCUGGAUGUGCUCCCUCCAUGGCACUGCUGGGUGCUGGGGGUGUCCCCCCCUCCCUGCUGAACUGUCACAGCCAGGCUGGAAUCAGAAGGGUUUGGGGUUGUGCCAGCCUGUGCAAGGAGCUGCCCUGAAUCAACUCCCUGGGCAGACGGACUCGCGUGGGGCUCAUAAAACCCCGAGCACCUUCUUGGCAGAGUCACAGUAAAUAAGAGCCUGGGAGGGAAAACACCAACUCCAUCUUGCUGGGAAAUGGGGCUUCAGCUUCAUCCAGUUUUUGGCCUCCCAAAUCCAGCAGAGCUCUCCAGGAGCAGGACAUCCAUGGACAGCACCACAGCACAGAUGUUGUGUUUACAGGGGGUCACUGCCCAAAUCUGCUUUCUCCUGGCAAGCUGAGUGUGCAGCUGGACACCUGGAAUCUCCAGGGAGCAGCUCAUUCAAAGGAUGCUUUGGGAAGGUGAGGCCAGUGUCUGGGAAAAAGGCACCAUCAUCAUGUUUGUACCUCCCCAACCUCCCCACUGAAGUGUUUAGGAUUCCCACUGGAUCCACUUUGGAUGAUCAUCUCCCAAAACAUCUCUGCUCUUGGAAAGCCUCAACAGAAUGUUCUGCAAGAGCUGAGCAGGGAGCAGUUGGAGACCACAGCUGUGAGUGUCCGGGCAGAGCUCCCUGAUCCAUCGUGGUGCACCGACGGUGCUCUGAAGGUGAAUGGUCUCACCUGCCCAACUGCCACAGAAUCCCAGGAUCACUGAGGCUGGAAAAGAUCUCCAUGACCAUGGAGUGCCCCCUGUGCCCCGUCCCCACCUUGUCCCCCAGCCCAGAGCACUGAGAGCUGCAUCCAGACAUUCCUUGGACAUCUCCAGGGGUGGGGACUCCAAACCUCCCUGGGCAGCCCCUUCCAAUGCCUGAGCACCCUUUUCCAUGAGGAAAUUCCCUCUGAUAUCCAACCUGAACCUCUCCUGGCACAUCCUGGGGCUGUGUCCUCUUGUCCUUUCACCUGCAGCGUUGGCAGAGGGAGCUCAGCCCUCACCCUUCCCACCCUCACCCGGGUGAGACCUCGGCACCCGAAGCUCCGCCGGGUCAGGAGCAGCAGGAACCAGGAAGCUCCUCCAAAACAAAGCAUUAUUUGUCUUCAGAUUUCGUGAUUAUUCACUCAUCAUAAAACAAUAACUCUUCCUUGUCAUCCAGGUUCAGUCCUGCCAAGUCCAUUCUGUCCUGUCCUCGCUCCAAUCUCCCACCACCUUCAGGACAGAAUAAUCCCUCCCCACGUGUCACGUCUGCCACUUGGAACAGUUCUCAGCCCACAGCUCUGUGGCCCUUUUCCACGGCUUCCCCAGGCUCAUUUGUUUCAUUUGCAUUAAUUAACCCUGCCCAGCUCAAGCUCCUCAAGGCCCUGGUGUUCAGGGGCACGAAACUCUGGAAUUUUCAAUCCUGGCCCGAAGCCACUUUGGUGCUCCAUGAAUAAAUAAAUAAAUAAAUAAAUAAAUAAAUAAA